RNAcentral lists this ribosomal RNA (253 nucleotides) under uncultured bacterium. RNAcentral's name for it is "partial 16S ribosomal RNA". It matches the Rfam family "Bacterial small subunit ribosomal RNA", at positions 524 to 776 of the family's 1533-position model. The record is from RNAcentral.
UACGUAGGGGGCAAGCGUUGUCCGGAUUUAUUGGGCGUAAAGAGCGUGUAGGCGGCCUGAAAGGUCAGCUGUGAAAACUCGAGGCUCAACCUCGAGACGUCGGUUGAAACCAUCUGGCUAGAGUCCGGAAGAGGAGUGUGGAAUUCCCGGUGUAGCGGUGAAAUGCGCAGAUAUCAGGAGGAACACCGGUGGCGAAGGCGGAUCUCUGGGCCAUUACUGACGCUGAGGAGCGAAAGCGUGGGGAGCGAACAGG